AUGUGAUCAAACUGUACGACUUAUUGCUAUAAUGAAGAUGGCUUUACAACUGAUUUGAUAUCAGUACUUCACCUUGGAUAUUCCAUACAUCUUCGUGAAUCCAAGCUUUUCUUAUCGUGGCAGAAUUGGGGCAGAUACAUUGAACAAUGAACCCUUGGCUUGGUUACGUUCACUUGAUGAACAAGAGGAACCCUCGGCUUGGUUGCGUUCACUUGAUGAACAAUGAACCCUCGGCUUGGUUACAUUCACUUUAUGAACAUGGAACUAUCGGCUUGGUUGCGUUCACGAUAUGAACAAGGAACCCUUGGCUUGGUUAUGUUCACGUUAUGAACAAGGGUUCCUUGGCUUGGUUACAUUCACUUUAUCUGGAGGCCUAAAUUAGAACUACUGAAAAUGUGGUGUCAGAUAUGUUGGGAACAAAAUUCCAUGACUUGGAGCAAAUGUCUGUGACAUUGGAUGCGAGGAUAUUUGAUUGAGCUGUACGACUUAUUUGAUGUCAGUACUUCGCCGUAGAUAUUCGAUGUCUUUGUGAAUCCAAGCUUUUGUGUCAUGAACAUUUAUAUUUCUUCCUGAUAGAAAUAUUCUGCAAGCCUUUUUUUGGCGAGUUUUGACAUUUAAA
Long non-coding RNA from Tripterygium wilfordii, 619 nucleotides. RefSeq lists it as uncharacterized. The transcript has 2 exons. The record is from RefSeq and is a predicted model, not a curated record. Lineage: Eukaryota; Viridiplantae; Streptophyta; Magnoliopsida; Celastrales; Celastraceae.